UCCAACGCGGGAGGCGACGACGCGCGGCUCCUCACCCGGCCGCCCGGACCGCGCCGAGCCACUGGCGAGCCCGACCCGCACGGUA
Molecule: non-coding RNA, 85 nt
Filed under: Chloroflexota bacterium
Lineage: Bacteria; Bacillati; Chloroflexota
Description: Chloroflexi bacterium c-di-GMP sequence
Rfam family: c-di-GMP-II-GCG riboswitch aptamer
Source: RNAcentral